Molecule: long non-coding RNA, 1541 nt
Organism: Bos taurus (domestic cattle)
Lineage: Eukaryota; Metazoa; Chordata; Mammalia; Artiodactyla; Bovidae
Source: Ensembl
CGGAAGUUCCGCCUCGUUAUCCGCGCGUGCGCAGUUUCCUGCGGAAGCGGAAAGCGGACAGAGAAGGUCGCCGCACGGCCUUUGCUUGUUUUUUUUCCUAGAGUAACCCUAAGCGCCUGCCUUCGCCACGCCCAUCUUCAGGGUCCGGCUGGUUCUGCGGCAGUAAUAUCCCAAUACCCCGAACUCCGCCCUAAAUAAACCCAGAGGCCGCCGUUUAGGUCAAGUAUUCGAAAUCGCUGUGAGGCUUGUCCUUGCCGUUUGGUUUUCGCCUUUGGCCCCGGAGACGCCGCCUUCCGGGAUAUUUUCAUGCUUAAAACUUAACCGUUAGUACCUGCGCCUGUGCCUUGUCAAGUCCCCGGGCGCGAGGGGGAUUCGGGCACGCCCACCUCCACCGCCUCACCCUGUCGACCCCUGGAGGUCGCGUCGACAGUUCCACUCCCGGAGAAGCCGAUUCCUCUCCCCGGUCCUGGGAUUCCGGAGAGCCCGCCCGACCCCUGAGACCCCCUCGCUUCCAGCCUCUCUGCCCUCGCGUCUCCUCAGGCCGAUCGUUCUGCCCCGCAGGCCUCCCUUCCUGAUACGUGGGCUAGGGGGAUCAGAAGAAGCAGUGACUGAGAGUGAAAGGCAAAGUCAGAAGUGGAAAACGAUGGGAGAACCGACGGGGUCGCCCAGGAUGGCUGAGGCACUUGCAAAGGGAUGAUCAACUUCUAAAAACUUACAUUGUCUGAGGAAGAAGCUGGAAAGAGGAAGAAAGGAAAGGCAACAGGAAUGCCUCUUUCUCAGACUGCUGCUGCUGCUGCUGCUGCUAAGUCGCUUCAGUCGUGUCGGACUCUGUGCGACCCCAUAGACGGCAGCCCAUCAGGCUCCCCCGUCCCUGGGAUUCUCCAGGCAAGAACACUGGAGUGGGUUGCCAUUUCCUUCUCCAAUGCAUGAAAGUGAAAAGUGAAAGUGAAGUCACUCAGUCGUGUCUGACUCUUCGAGACCCCAUGGACUGCAGCCCACCAGGCUAUGCCGUCCAUGGGAUUUUCCAGGCAAGAGUACUAGAGUGGGGUGCCAUCACCUUCUCCGAACAGACUGCUAGUGGGUAUAUAACAUCCACCUGAAGACUAGCAGGGGGGUACUCUUUCUGUCCCCUUCUGAUGCCUAUGUCAGAGGCUUUCUCUAUCUCCUUUAUACUUUAAUAAAACCUUAUUACACAAAUCUCUGAGCGAUCAAGCCUCGUGUCUGGCCCCAGAUUGAAUUCUUCUCCUCCGGAGGCCAAGAAUCCUGGCGUUUUUUCAGUCAGCAACAACCUUUCAAAUCCCUAUGGGAGAGAAACCCUACAAAUGUAAUCAAUGUGGGAAGGACUUUACGGAAAAGGCAACCCUUGCAAAGCAUCAAUGAAUUCAUACUGGAGAGAAACCUUACAAAUGUAAGAAGUGUGGAAAAGCCUUUAGUCAAAAAGCACAUCUUCAGCUUCAUUGGAGAAUACAUACAGGAGAGGAACCUUACAAAUGUAAUGUGUGGCAUGUGUUUCAGUCGAAAAUCACACCUUACAAGUCAUC